UACGUAGGGUGCAAGCGUUGUCCGGAAUUAUUGGGCGUAAAGAGCUCGUAGGCGGUUUGUCGCGUCUGCUGUGAAAACCCGAGGCUCAACCUCGGGCCUGCAGUGGGUACGGGCAGACUAGAGUGCGGUAGGGGAGAUUGGAAUUCCUGGUGUAGCGGUGGAAUGCGCAGAUAUCAGGAGGAACACCAAUGGCGAAGGCAGAUCUCUGGGACGGUACUGACGCUGAGACGCGAAAGCGUGGGGAGCGAACAGG
This 253-nucleotide ribosomal RNA is filed under the name uncultured bacterium. RNAcentral describes it as "partial 16S ribosomal RNA". It matches the Rfam family "Bacterial small subunit ribosomal RNA", at positions 524 to 776 of the family's 1533-position model. The record is from RNAcentral.